RNAcentral lists this ribosomal RNA (894 nucleotides) under Fulvifomes squamosus. RNAcentral describes it as "eukaryotic LSU rRNA". It matches the Rfam family "Eukaryotic large subunit ribosomal RNA", at positions 76 to 937 of the family's 3401-position model. The record is from RNAcentral. Lineage: Eukaryota; Fungi; Basidiomycota; Agaricomycetes; Hymenochaetales; Hymenochaetaceae.
UCCCCUAGUAACUGCGAGUGAAGCGGGAAGAGCUCAAAUUUAAAAUCUGGCGGCUUUUUGGUCGUCCGAGUUGUAAUCUGGAGAGGCAUUUUCCGCGUUGGACCGUGUACAAGUCUCCUGGAACGGAGCGUCAUAGAGGGUGAGAAUCCCGUCCAUGACACGGACCGCCAAUGCUCUGUGAUAUGCCUUCGAAGAGUCGCGUUGUUUGGGAAUGCAGCGCAAAAUGGGUGGUAAAUUCCAUCUAAAGCUAAAUAUUGGCGAGAGACCGAUAGCGAACAAGUACCGUGAGGGAAAGAUGAAAAGCACUUUGAAAAGAGAGUUAAACAGUACGUGAAAUUGUUGAAAGGGAAACGCUUGAAGUCAGUCGCGUUCCGUGGAACUCAGCCUUACUUCGGUUUGGUGUACUUUCCAUGUGAACGGGUCAACGUCAAUUUUGGCCGGUGGACAAAGGCAAGGGGAAUGUAGCGUCGCUUCGGUGACGUGUUAUAGCCCUUUGUUGUAUACACCGGCUAGGAUUGAGGACCGCAGCACGCCCUUUGUGGCCGGGGGUUUGCGCCCUACGUACCGUGCUUAGGAUGUUGGCAUAAUGGCUUUAAGCGACCCGUCUUGAAACACGGACCAAGGAGUCUAACAUGCUUGCAAGUGUUCGGGUGGAAAACCCUUGCGCGUAAUGAAGGUGAAAGUUAGGAGCCCCUUCUGUCUGGAGGGGGUGCACUGACGCCCGGCCCUGAAGUUCUCUGACGGUGCUGCGGUAGAGCAAGUAUGUUGGGACCCGAAAGAUGGUGAACUAUGCCUGAAUAGGGCGAAGCCAGAGGAAACUCUGGUGGAGGCUCGUAGCGAUUCUGACGUGCAAAUCGAUCGUCAAAUUUGGGUAUAGGGGCGAAAGACUAAUCG